Molecule: ribosomal RNA, 662 nt
Filed under: uncultured Helotiales
Lineage: Eukaryota; Fungi; Ascomycota; Leotiomycetes; Helotiales
Description: eukaryotic LSU rRNA
Rfam family: 5.8S ribosomal RNA (bases 170-323)
Source: RNAcentral
AGGAUCAUUACAGAGUUCGUGCCCUCACGGGUAGACCUCCCACCCUUGAUAUCUAUUCUCUUGUUGCUUUGGCGGGACGCUUCUUGCCACGCGCCCCGGCGCGUGUGUGCCCGCCAGAGACCCAACCAACUCUUGUUUAUGUGUCGUCUGAGUACUAUAUAAUAGUUAAAACUUUCAACAACGGAUCUCUUGGUUCUGGCAUCGAUGAAGAACGCAGCGAAAUGCGAUAAGUAAUGUGAAUUGCAGAAUUCAGUGAAUCAUCGAAUCUUUGAACGCACAUUGCGCCCCUUGGUAUUCCGGGGGGCAUGCCUGUUCGAGCGUCAUUAACACCACUCAAGCCUGGCUUGGUAUUGGGGUACGCCCACCCGCGGCCCCUAAACGCAGUGGCGGUGCCGGUUGGCUCUUCGCGUAGUAAUUCUCUCGCGAUAGGGUUCGUCGGUGGCUUGCCAGCAACCCAUACUUCUAAGGUUGACCUCGGAUCAGGUAGGGAUACCCGCUGAACUUAAGCAUAUCAAUAAGCGGAGGAAAAGAAACCAACAGGGAUUACCUCAGUAACGGCGAGUGAAGCGGUAACAGCUCAAAUUUGAAAUCUGGCUCUUUCAGGGUCCGAGUUGUAAUUUGUAGAAGAUGCUUCGAGUAUUGGCCCGGUCUAAGUUCCUUGG